This 429-nucleotide ribosomal RNA is filed under the name Gemmatimonadota bacterium. Its description in RNAcentral is "Gemmatimonadetes bacterium partial 16S ribosomal RNA". It matches the Rfam family "Bacterial small subunit ribosomal RNA", at positions 355 to 776 of the family's 1533-position model. The record is from RNAcentral. Lineage: Bacteria; Pseudomonadati; Gemmatimonadota.
UAGGGAAUCUUCGGCAAUGGACGAAAGUCUGACCGAGCAACGCCGCGUGAGUGAAGAAGGUUUUCGGAUCGUAAAACUCUGUUGUUAGAGAAGAACAAGGACGUUAGUAACUGAACGUCCCCUGACGGUAUCUAACCAGAAAGCCACGGCUAACUACGUGCCAGCAGCCGCGGUAAUACGUAGGUGGCAAGCGUUGUCCGGAUUUAUUGGGCGUAAAGCGAGCGCAGGCGGUUUCUUAAGUCUGAUGUGAAAGCCCCCGGCUCAACCGGGGAGGGUCAUUGGAAACUGGGAGACUUGAGUGCAGAAGAGGAGAGUGGAAUUCCAUGUGUAGCGGUGAAAGGCGUAGAUAUAGGGAGGAACACCAGUGGCGAAGGCGGCUCUCUGGUCUGUAACUGACGCUGAGGCUCGAAAGCGUGGGGAGCAAACAGG